GGGUACUAGCUCGAUCAGUAGUGCAGCAAGUUGUGCCAGUUGUUGGUCCAAAUGAGGAGCGAGCGACUGCUCAAGAGGUCUCUUCUGCAUCGUACUCCAUAAAAGAUCUUAGACCUUUCUAGAGGAUAGUUUUUUGCCCUCCCUGGCCUAGCUUUUCGGCCCUUCUUGAGGGAAUAUCUAAGAGGUGAAUGAAGCUAGUCAUUCCAUCUCCGAUAUCCUUUGGUGGGGAUCGGUAGCCAUCG
This 242-nucleotide long non-coding RNA is filed under the name Elaeis guineensis (African oil palm). RNAcentral's name for it is "long non-coding RNA (EGUI_LNC031115)". The record is from RNAcentral. Lineage: Eukaryota; Viridiplantae; Streptophyta; Magnoliopsida; Arecales; Arecaceae.